Molecule: ribosomal RNA, 467 nt
Filed under: uncultured bacterium
Lineage: Bacteria
Description: partial 16S ribosomal RNA
Rfam family: Bacterial small subunit ribosomal RNA
Source: RNAcentral
GACGAACGCUGGCGGCGUGCUUAACACAUGCAAGUCGAACGGAAAGGCCCUGCUUUUGUGGGGUGCUCGAGUGGCGAACGGGUGAGUAACACGUGAGUAACCUGCCCUUGACUUUGGGAUAACUUCAGGAAACUGGGGCUAAUACCGGAUAGGAGCUCCUGCUGCAUGGUGGGGGUUGGAAAGUUUCGGCGGUUGGGGAUGGACUCGCGGCUUAUCAGCUUGUUGGUGGGGUAGUGGCUUACCAAGGCUUUGACGGGUAGCCGGCCUGAGAGGGUGACCGGCCACAUUGGGCCUGAGAGACGGCCCAGACCCCUACGGGAGGCAGGAGUGGGGAAUAUUGCACAAUGGGCGGAAGCCUGAUGCAGCAACGCCGGGUGCGGGAGGACGGCCUUCGGGUUGUAAACCGCUUUCGCCUGUGACGAAGCGUGAGUGACGGUAAUGGGGAAAGAAGCACCGGCUAACUACGU